Molecule: ribosomal RNA, 375 nt
Filed under: uncultured eukaryote
Lineage: Eukaryota
Description: partial 18S ribosomal RNA
Rfam family: Eukaryotic small subunit ribosomal RNA
Source: RNAcentral
CAAUAGCGUAUAUUUAAGUUGUUGCAGUUAAAAAGCUCGUAGUUGGAUUUCGGUUAAGAGCGACCGGUCCGCCGUUUGGUGUGCACUGGUUGGUUUUAACUUCCUGUAGAGGACGUGCUCUGGGUUUAACGACCUGGACUCGGAGUCUACGUGGCUACUUUGAAAAAAUUAGAGUGUUCAAAGCGGGCUUACGCUUGAAUAUUUCAGCAUGGAAUAACACUAUAGGACUCCUGUCCUAUUUCGUUGGUCUCGGGACGGGAGUAAUGAUUAAGAGGAACAGUUGGGGGCAUUCGUAUUUCAUUGUCAGAGGUGAAAUUCUUGGAUUUAUGAAAGACGAACUUCUGCGAAAGCAUUUGCCAAGGAUGUUUNCAUUAA